GAUGAAGAACGUAGCGAAAUGCGAUAACUAAUGUGAAUUGCAGAAUUCAGUGAAUCAUCGAGUCUUUGAACGCACAUUGCGCCCCCUGGUAUUCCGGGGGGCAUGCCUGUCCGAGCGUCAUUGCUGCCCUCAAGCACGGCUUGUGUGUUGGGCCGCCGUCCCCCCGGGGACGGGUCCGAAAGGCAGCGGCGGCACCGCGUCCGGUCCUCGAGCGUAUGGGGCUUUGUCACCCGCUCUGCAGGCCCGGCCGGCGCUGGCCGACGCUUCGCACCGAAGCAACCAACCUUCUCUCCAGGUUGACCUCGGAUCAGGUAGGGAUACCCGCUGAACUUAAGCAUAUCAAUAAGCGGAGGA
Molecule: unclassified non-coding RNA, 354 nt
Filed under: soil metagenome
Description: partial contains 5.8S ribosomal RNA, internal transcribed spacer 2, and large subunit ribosomal RNA
Rfam family: 5.8S ribosomal RNA (bases 1-120)
Source: RNAcentral